RNAcentral lists this ribosomal RNA (490 nucleotides) under uncultured bacterium. RNAcentral describes it as "partial 16S ribosomal RNA". It matches the Rfam family "Bacterial small subunit ribosomal RNA", at positions 30 to 507 of the family's 1533-position model. The record is from RNAcentral.
AUUGAACGCUGGCGGCAGGCCUAACACAUGCAAGUCGAACGGUAACAGGAAGCAGCUUGCUGCUUCGCUGACGAGUGGCGGACGGGUGAGUAAUGUCUGGGAAGCUGCCUGAUGGAGGGGGAUAACUACUGGAAACGGUAGCUAAUACCGCAUAAUGUCGCAAGACCAAAGAGGGGGACCUUCGGGCCUCUUGCCAUCGGAUGUGCCCAGAUGGGAUUAGCUUGUUGGUGGGGUAACGGCUCACCAAGGCGACGAUCCCUAGCUGGUCUGAGAGGAUGACCAGCCACACUGGGACUGAGACACGGUCCAGACUCCUACGGGAGGCAGCAGUGGGGAAUAUUGCACAAUGGGCGCAAGCCUGAUGCAGCCAUGCCGCGUGUAUGAAGAAGGCCUUCGGGUUGUAAAGUACUUUCAGCGGGAAGGAAGGGAGUAAAGUUAAUACCUUUGCUCAUUGACGUUACCCGCAGAAGAAGCACCGGCUAACUCCGUG